GAUGAACGCUGGCGGCGUGCCUAAUACAUGCAAGUCGAGCGAACAGACGAGGAGCUUGCUCCUCUGACGUUAGCGGCGGACGGGUGAGUAACACGUGGAUAACCUACCUAUAAGACUGGGAUAACUUCGGGAAACCGGAGCUAAUACCGGAUAAUAUAUUGAACCGCAUGGUUCAAUAGUGAAAGACGGUUUUGCUGUCACUUAUAGAUGGAUCCGCGCCGCAUUAGCUAGUUGGUAAGGUAACGGCUUACCAAGGCAACGAUGCGUAGCCGACCUGAGAGGGUGAGCGGCCACACUGGAACUGAGACACGGUCCAGACUCCUACGGGAGGCAGCAGUAGGGAAUCUUCCGCAAUGGGCGAAAGCUUGACGGAGCAACGCCGCGUUAGUGAUGAAGGUCUUCGGAUCGUAAAACUCUGUUAUUAGGGAAGAACAAAUGUGUAAGUAACUAUGCACGUCUUGACGGUACCUAAUCAGAAAGCCACGGCUAACUACGUG
RNAcentral lists this ribosomal RNA (497 nucleotides) under uncultured bacterium. RNAcentral's name for it is "partial 16S ribosomal RNA". It matches the Rfam family "Bacterial small subunit ribosomal RNA", at positions 28 to 507 of the family's 1533-position model. The record is from RNAcentral.